CCCCUAAACAAAUAUAUACUAGUUCAGUGAUAAUAAACGCCAUACUAAUUUCCAAAUUGUACACAAGAAACUAAAAUUAAAAUAAUACAAGACUAACAAAGGCCAGAGGCUCCUGGCUUGGGACAGGCGCAAAAAUGCGGCGGGGUUAAACAUGUUUGUGAGAUCUCAACCCUCCCCCUAUACCUCUAGCCAAUGUAGAAAAGUAAACGCAUAAC
This 215-nucleotide long non-coding RNA is filed under the name Mytilus galloprovincialis (Mediterranean mussel). The record is from RNAcentral. Lineage: Eukaryota; Metazoa; Mollusca; Bivalvia; Mytilida; Mytilidae.